GAUGAAGAACGUAGCGAAAUGCGAUAAGUGAUGUGAAUUGCAGAAUUCAGUGAAUCAUCGAAUCUUUGAACGCACAUUGCGCCCCCCAGUAUUCUGGCGGGCAUGCCUGUUCGAGCGUCAUUUCAACCAUCAAGCCCUGCUUGUGUUGGGGUCCUGCGGCUGCCCGCAGGCCCUGAAAACCAGUGGCGGGCUCGCUAGUCACACCGAGCGCAGUAGCACAUCUCGCUCAGGGCGUGCGGCGGGCUCCAGCCGUUAAAGCACCCACCUUUCGCAAGGUUGACCUCGGAUCAGGUAGGAAUACCCGCUGAACUUAAGCAUAUCAAUAAGCGGAGGA
This 334-nucleotide unclassified non-coding RNA is filed under the name soil metagenome. Its description in RNAcentral is "partial contains 5.8S ribosomal RNA, internal transcribed spacer 2, and large subunit ribosomal RNA". The stretch from base 1 to 120 matches the Rfam family "5.8S ribosomal RNA", at positions 35 to 154 of the family's 154-position model. The record is from RNAcentral.